This 492-nucleotide ribosomal RNA is filed under the name uncultured bacterium. Its description in RNAcentral is "partial 16S ribosomal RNA". It matches the Rfam family "Bacterial small subunit ribosomal RNA", at positions 29 to 507 of the family's 1533-position model. The record is from RNAcentral.
AGUGAACGCUGGCGGUAGGCCUAACACAUGCAAGUCGAACGGCAGCACAGUAAGAGCUUGCUCUUACGGGUGGCGAGUGGCGGACGGGUGAGGAGUACAUCGGAAUCUACUUUUUCGUGGGGGAUAACGUAGGGAAACUUACGCUAAUACCGCAUACGACCUACGGGUGAAAGCAAGGGAUCUUCGGACCUUGCGCGAUUGAAUGAGCCGAUGUCGGAUUAGCUAGUUGGCGGGGUAAAGGCCCACCAAGGCGACGAUCCGUAGCUGGUCUGAGAGGAUGAUCAGCCACACUGGAACUGAGACACGGUCCAGACUCCUACGGGAGGCAGCAGUGGGGAAUAUUGGACAAUGGGCGCAAGCCUGAUCCAGCCAUACCGCGUGGGUGAAGAAGGCCUUCGGGUUGUAAAGCCCUUUUGUUGGGAAAGAAAAGCAGCAGGUUAAUACCCCGCUGUUCUGACGGUACCCAAAGAAUAAGCACCGGCUAACUUCGUG